Molecule: ribosomal RNA, 674 nt
Filed under: uncultured Bacteroidales bacterium
Lineage: Bacteria; Pseudomonadati; Bacteroidota; Bacteroidia; Bacteroidales
Description: bacterial SSU rRNA
Rfam family: Bacterial small subunit ribosomal RNA
Source: RNAcentral
UUUGCUUGCAAACUGAAGAUGGCGACCGGCGCACGGGUGAGUAACACGUAUCCAACCUGCCGAUAACUCCGGGAUAGCCUUUCGAAAGAAAGAUUAAUACCGGAUAGUAUACGAAUAUCGCAUGAUAUUUUUAUUAAAGAAUUUCGGUUAUCGAUGGGGAUGCGUUCCAUUAGUUUGUUGGCGGGGUAACGGCCCACCAAGACUACGAUGGAUAGGGGUUCUGAGAGGAAGGUCCCCCACAUUGGAACUGAGACACGGUCCAAACUCCUACGGGAGGCAGCAGUGAGGAAUAUUGGUCAAUGGGCGAGAGCCUGAACCAGCCAAGUAGCGUGAAGGAUGAAGGCUCUAUGGGUCGUAAACUUCUUUUAUAUGGGAAUAAAGUUUUCCACGUGUGGAAUUUUGUAUGUACCAUAUGAAUAAGGAUCGGCUAACUCCGUGCCAGCAGCCGCGGUAAUACGGAGGAUCCGAGCGUUAUCCGGAUUUAUUGGGUUUAAAGGGAGCGUAGGUGGAUUGUUAAGUCAGUUGUGAAAGUUUGCGGCUCAACCGUAAAAUUGCAGUUGAAACUGGCAGUCUUGAGUACAGUAGAGGUGGGCGGAAUUCGUGGUGUAGCGGUGAAAUGCUUAGAUAUCACGAAGAACUCCGAUUGCGAAGGCAGCUCACUAGACUGUUACUGA